GUAUUCUGCACGGACUGCUGGGCAGCACUAGCACUCUGGAGAAGGUCUGCCGCUGUCUGCACUUUCCUGGUUCUAUGCAGGCAGAUGAGUGUCACAGCUGUAACUGAGGCACAGAGCAGUACACACAGUGGAGCCGAUUUCCGCGAUGGCGAGAGGGGGCACCGGAGGUGACAACAAUAACAAGACUGUCCUUCGGACAAGUUUUAGGUAAGAAAAUAUUUAUGCCCUGAUUCUUGUAUUUCUGCACUUUGUGUCUGCAACAUUGGGAUAGAAAGCAACUCUGGAUAGGGAAAUAUCUUUGUGAGGGUAUCAUCUGUGCUGUCACUUGCCUGCAAACCUGUGUUCUCCGGGCUUUGUGUUACUGGAAUCGUCGGAGGUGAAGUGUGAGCGGAGCUGAGUGGAAGGGUGAGCUGCUUUUUGUGUCUGUCUGGUGAUAUUCAGCACGCUGUUUAAAUUUAUAUCUGGAAAAAAAUUCUGUUUGAUGAUAGUUAGCAAUGUUUUGUGCAACGUAGAAGAGCAUAUGGCCAUGCAGAAUUCAAGGGAUGCUCUUUCAUUCUUAAUUUGUAAUUAUUUUUACACUCAACUGUACUGAGGUCAGAGAGUUUCAAAAAUUAAUGAGAUUCCCUGUGGAGUUCAAAUAGUAAUAUCUACGUGAGCUGUCACAAAAAGAUAAGAUUAUGAUGGUAUGUUUUCAACAUAGAUUUAACUGUCUUAUUUGGAACAUACUCCAUUUGAAAUAUAUAUGAAAUGUACAAUAGUUUAUGGAAGCCUAUAUGUUUUUGGAAAUUAGUUGGUUUUUUUUAAUGAUGAGGAGAAAUUGACUCAAAAUUAGACUGUAGAGGAUGAACACUUUGUGUAGAGAUAUUACUAAAACUUAAUAGACAUUGUUAUGGCAAUAGAGAAUAUCUUAUACUUUCGAGGAAAUAAGAAAUAAUGAAUGAGUCGCACGCUAAAAAGAAAUCUGCAAAUGUGUUUUCAUUUCAAGUAAUACAAAAAAACUCAGCAGAUAUUUAUAGUGAAACAUUGCUGGCAUGAACAAAGAAGCAAGUGUACACAUAGAUGAGAAUUCUUUGUCACAAAAAUGAGUCCAGGACAUCGAUUUAGGAGGUUAAGUGAUUUUUAUGUUCUUAGUGCCCCACAAAAGGGAGUCUAUUGGGAUGAGUCCAGACAUUUAAAAAUGUACCAAAAACUUUCAUUUCCCACAAUUUAAAAGCAUUGUUUAUGUUCCUGAUACAACACAUUGUUUAAAUGAGGGGGACCGAAAAGCAGUCUGAAUAUGCAGUAAUCGGGGCUAAAGAUGGUUUUUAUCCCCAGGUCCCCAUUUACAAGAUCCAUUCGGAGCUUCCUGUGAUAUAUUGUUAUGUAAAUACUGUUCAGCCAGGGAAAGCAGUACUAUGGAGAUUCAAUUUACUUUGAAAGUUGUUCAUUAUAGCAGGGAUGAAUGUUAUUUAUUUGAUGUGAUUCAAAGGCUGGAAAUGACUUUUUCAUUGUGGCACCUUUUGUAAUGGGUGCAGGGUGAUCUAAUCUUUUUAAUUUUGGCUUUCACACCAGUGGAGAUGAAAAGAGAUCUGAACUCAUUUAUCGGUUGCUAGGUCCUUCUGGAGGCCCAAGUCCUGUUGGUGGUUGCUAUGGCCAGUCUGACCUCAAUCUCCGUGGUUUUGGGGACUUAGCAGUCUUUUUUUCUUAUUGAGGAGCAUGUACCUUGAUUUAUGUCCAAAAUCGUGGCUGAACGUCUUUGUCUGCAAGUGAUAAAUGGUGCCGAGCAAUUCAUCAGUUCUUACAAGUAAACACUGCUGUCCCACUAAAAAUAUGUUUUGUUCUGAGUUAAUGGUAUGGAACAAGGCAGCCUCCACAAACAGCUAUCUUUUAUUGUGGAGGGGCCACUGAAACUUGGAGCAAAGUGGAGGAGAUUGGCAUUCAUUUUCUUGUACAUUAGCAUUUCAUUUGUGAUUCGGAUGAUGCAGCUCUAGGUGGAUUGACUAUGAAAGGGUGAGCCUUCCAUCUCCUUACCUUCUCUCUAGUUGGGGUGCCUGUGAAACCGGCAGGCUCUCUCCAAAUGCCUGGAUUCUGCUGGGGGAGUAAGAAGUCAGGAGUAGUUUGUCUGAUGGUAUUGGGAUCUGCUUUGCAAUUGCCAAGCGCUAAGGCACAAGCUGGCAGAUGUGCUGCGGCUCUGCUACGGGCGGCUCUGUCGCCUUCAGUCGCAGGCUGGUUCUUUGGGGGAAAGUUGUAUCCAAUAUUGGUGACUCCCGGGAAUAGUCUGUUUGUGUGCUACUUAAUGGUCUCUAGGCUUCCUUGUCUUGUAGAACCUUGUUAGAAAGGAGCCUUGGUGAUUAAGAGGCUAUGGAGUACACAGCCUUGCUUAGCAGAUGAGCCCUUAUCCAUUUCCCGUUUCCUUAAAAACGGCUAAUUGAUGGAUGCUGCAGAAAACAUGCACUCUGCUAAUAAGAUGCUGAUGACAAAAUAGGUAUCAGGAAAGGCAUUUACUGCUUAUGAGCACCAUCAGCUUUCUUUCGAGUGAGAUUGUGGCUUUGUAGUAAAGUUUUUUUUUAAGUAAUAUGCUAAUAGUUUUAUUCUAAAUCGGCCAGCGCUGAAUAUCUUCAGGAAAAUGGGUUCCAUGAGAAGUGACAUCCUCCUCGAAUCAAAAGAUUCUCAGGAUGAUGGAGUGAGUGAUGGAAUAGGUUGCCAACUGUAGUUACUCCACUCAGCACAGAAUGGCUGCGGGGAAAUAUAAUCAGACAUGCCCAAAGAAGUCUGCUUAGGGUGAAACAAAUACCUUUGAGGUUUAAAUC
Molecule: long non-coding RNA, 2789 nt
Filed under: Homo sapiens (human)
Lineage: Eukaryota; Metazoa; Chordata; Mammalia; Primates; Hominidae
Source: RNAcentral